RNAcentral lists this ribosomal RNA (463 nucleotides) under uncultured bacterium. RNAcentral's name for it is "partial 16S ribosomal RNA". It matches the Rfam family "Bacterial small subunit ribosomal RNA", at positions 28 to 507 of the family's 1533-position model. The record is from RNAcentral.
GAUGAACGCUGGCAGCAUGCUUAACACAUGCAAGUCUUUCGCAAAGCUGUGCUUGCUGCGCCUUGCCCGGGCGGACGGGUGAGUAGAGCGUCAGGUGGUUGACCUGCCGUCAGGGCUGACAGACGUAAACGACUGCUGAGACCAGGCCAAGUCAGGCUUACUACCGUACAGCUCGAUGGAAAGAGAUGGUGCUGUAGAGACUUGGGUCCUAUUAGCUUGUUGGUGGGGUAACGGGCCACCAAGGCGAUGAUAUGUAGCCGGCCUGAGAGGGUGGACGGCCACGAGGGGAAUGAGAGACGGCCGUUACGCCUACGGGAGGCAGCAGGGGAGAAUAUUGGAGAAAGGGGGCGACCCUGAUCCAGCAAUUCUGUGUGCACGAUGAAGGUUUUCGGAUUGUAAAGUGCUUUCAGCAGGGAAGAAAAAAAUGACGGUACCUGAAGAAGAAGCGACGGCUAAAUACGUG